GACGAACGCUGGCGGCGUGCUUAACACAUGCAAGUCGAACGGAAAGGCCCUGCUUUUGUGGGGUGCUCGAGUGGCGAACGGGUGAGUAACACGUGAGUAACCUGCCCUUGACUUUGGGAUAACUUCAGGAAACUGGGGCUAAUACCGGAUAGGAGCUCCUGCUGCAUGGUGGGGGUUGGAAAGUUUCGGCGGUUGGGGAUGGACUCGCGGCUUAUCAGCUUGUUGGUGGGGUAGUGGCUUACCAAGGCUUUGACGGGUAGCCGGCCUGAGAGGGUGACCGGGCACAUUGGGACUGAGGUACGGCCCAGACUCCUACGGGAGGCAGCAGUGGGGAAUAUUGCACAAUGGGGGGAAGCCUGAUGCAGAAACGCCGCGUGCGGGAUGAUGGCCUUCGGGUUGUAAACCGAUUUCGCCUGUGACGAAGCGUGAGUGACGGUAAUGGGUAAAGAAGCAACGGCUAACUACGUG
RNAcentral lists this ribosomal RNA (468 nucleotides) under uncultured bacterium. Its description in RNAcentral is "partial 16S ribosomal RNA". It matches the Rfam family "Bacterial small subunit ribosomal RNA", at positions 28 to 507 of the family's 1533-position model. The record is from RNAcentral.